This 589-nucleotide long non-coding RNA is filed under the name Sinocyclocheilus grahami. RNAcentral describes it as "lncRNA (ENSSGRG00000018161.1)". Lineage: Eukaryota; Metazoa; Chordata; Actinopteri; Cypriniformes; Cyprinidae. The record is from RNAcentral.
GUGUGUGUGUCUCUCGCUCUCUCUCUCUCUGUGUGUGUGUGUGUGAGUGAGAGAGAAGAUGUCCAGAAGAGUGGAGGUGAUCAUCAGCUCCUCAGCUCCGCAGGAUCAGGCAGAGCCUCCUCUUCAGAUCACAGAGUCGAAGCCCGGAGAGCAUCCAGGAGUGAAGGGCUUCUUAAUGAUCAAGCCGGCGGUGCUGGGGGUGAAAACUUGUGCUUUAACAGAUCAUAUCUAGUGCUGAGAGUCUCUGAGCUCGAGCUGAACCUGUGUGUGUGUGUGUGUGAUCCGGCAGUGGCUGGAGAUCCUGACCGGUGCCGGUGUGUUUGGACUCGUAUAUUGGAAUUACACUCUCUGGUUGUUAAUACCGGCUUGCUUUGUGAUUUUAAUAGGAGUUAUAACCGCUACAGCUGCAUGCACCCACAACCCGUGUCUGGUGAUCACUUCUCAAGUGCUGAAUCUGCUCAAUAUCUGCAAUGUGGUGACGGCCGUCCUCGUGUUUUUCGUCAGAGUCUUCUUUGUAUUUCUUGGAGAUGUGAGUGAUUGCUUCUGCUGGUAGUUUCUAGUCUCGUUCUGAUCAGAGCACAUCUAAUGC